AUCCAGCUGACGAGUCCAAAAUAGGAUGAAACACUCAUCCUUGAU
RNAcentral lists this non-coding RNA (45 nucleotides) under Schistosoma mansoni. The record is from RNAcentral. Lineage: Eukaryota; Metazoa; Platyhelminthes; Trematoda; Strigeidida; Schistosomatidae.